GUGCCAGCAGCCGCGGUAAUACGUAGGGUGCUAGCGUUGUUCGGAAUCAUUGGGCGUAAAGCGCGUGCAGGCUGUUAGAUAAGUCAGAUGUGAAAUCCCUGGGCUCAACCGAGGAAGUGCAUUUGAAACUAUCUAGCUGGAAGAUGGUAGAGGAAGGUGGAAUUCCAAGUGUAGAGGUGAAAUUCGUAGAUAUUUGGAGGAAUACCGGUGGCGAAGGCGGCCUUCUGGACCAUUCUUGACGCUGAGACGCGAAAGCGUGGGUAGCAAACAGGAUUAGAAACCCCUGUAGUCC
This 292-nucleotide ribosomal RNA is filed under the name uncultured bacterium. Its description in RNAcentral is "partial 16S ribosomal RNA". It matches the Rfam family "Bacterial small subunit ribosomal RNA", at positions 505 to 796 of the family's 1533-position model. The record is from RNAcentral.